This is a non-coding RNA of Cinara cedri, 365 nucleotides long. Lineage: Eukaryota; Metazoa; Arthropoda; Insecta; Hemiptera; Aphididae. The record is from the annotation of a GenBank genome assembly.
CGCCAGAAUUUCAAUCCGUUACGAACGACCGUGUGUCCGUACGUCACGUACGUUCCGGACUCGUUGCGAACCGAGUGCCGUAACGCGUCGGUCUGCGCGUGUUCGCAGUGCGCCCGGAACCAAGCGUGAAAACCAUUGUGAUUGCAUUUAAUACAAAACAACCGAGCACAUUGCUUGGGACGUUGGACGUUUUCGCGAUCGUGUCUGCGUGUGACAAUCGUCGCUCAUUCCAGAGUUCGUACAUACUCGGGGAUACGUACCCAAUCGUUCGGGGACAAUGCGGUGUUCGAAACACGUUCCGUAAUAAUCAUUCGUUAGUUUCGCCGUUUCGGUUAAAAUAAUAAAAACCCAAUAAAUUCGCUGUG